CUGCCGGUGACAAACCGGAGGAAGGCAGGGAUGACGUCAAGUCAUCAUGGCCCUUACGUCCAGGGCUACACACGUGCUACAAUGGGUUGUACAGAGGGAAGAGAAGCCGCGAGGUAGAGCGGAACCCAGAAAGCAACUCGUAGUCCGGAUUGGAGUCUGCAACUCGACUCCAUGAAGUCGGAAUCGCUAGUAAUCGCGAAUCAGAAUGUCGCGGUGAAUACGUUCCCGGGCCUUGUACACACCGCCCGUCACACCAUGGGAGUGAAUUGCACCAGAAGUAGUUAGCUUAACCCGCAAGGGAGGGCGAUUACCACGGUGUGGUUUAUGACUGGGGUGAAGUCGUAACAAGGUAACCGUA
Molecule: ribosomal RNA, 358 nt
Filed under: uncultured bacterium
Lineage: Bacteria
Description: bacterial SSU rRNA
Rfam family: Bacterial small subunit ribosomal RNA
Source: RNAcentral